This 463-nucleotide ribosomal RNA is filed under the name uncultured bacterium. RNAcentral describes it as "partial 16S ribosomal RNA". It matches the Rfam family "Bacterial small subunit ribosomal RNA", at positions 29 to 506 of the family's 1533-position model. The record is from RNAcentral.
AUGAACGCUGGCGGCGUGCCUAAUACAUGCAAGUCGAACGGAGAGGAUGUAGCAAUAUAUCGUCUUAGUGGCGAACGGGUGAGUAACGCGUUGGUGACCUGCCCCGAAGAGGGGGAUAACAGUUCGAAAGGACUGUUAAUACCCCAUAGGGUCAAAGAGAUUAGAAGCUCAUUGACCAAAGGAGAAAUUCGCUUCGGGAGGGGCCUGCGUCCCAUCAGCUAGUUGGUAGGGUAAUGGCCUACCAAGGCAAUGACGGGUAGGGGACCUGAGAGGGUGGCCCACCACACUGGCACUGAAAUACGGGCCAGACACCUACGGGUGGCAGCAGUAGGGAAUAUUGGACAAUGGGCGAAAGCCUGAUCCAGCAACGCCGCGUGCACGAUGACGGCCUUCGGGUUGUAAAGUGCUUUUAAGGGAGAUGAGAAAGGACAGUAUCCCUUGAAUAAGCCUCGGCGAACUACGU